RNAcentral lists this long non-coding RNA (1279 nucleotides) under Serinus canaria (Common canary). Its description in RNAcentral is "lncRNA (ENSSCAG00000007466.1)". Lineage: Eukaryota; Metazoa; Chordata; Aves; Passeriformes; Fringillidae. The record is from RNAcentral.
UUAAGGUCUUUAUUAUUGACUGAAAAAAACCUUUUUUCUUUAUUACUGUAGAAUAAGAUAGUGAAUAGGCUGAAAAGAGAAUGCUGCACACCUACUGCAUCAUGAUCUCAUUCUCAACAUGAUUGCCUCGGUGCUUGCCAGUUCCAACGUUCAUGAGUCACACUCCAGUAUGUGAUUUGCUUAAAAGCAAUAAAUGUCAGCACUUUUAUUUACGAUCUGCCUUUGAAGAUUUGGAAGACAUAACUUCAACACAUUUUUUUUCUAGGACCGUGAAGGCUAGGAACUGGCUUUACCUUUCUCUUUUAAAUGAAAGAUGAAAGCUUUGAUUGAUGUGUUGCUCAGUCCAACCUAGCUGCAGUGGGUUAGAUGUGGAACUACCCAAACCCAUUUCUUCCUCCACCCUGUGAGAAAUUACCGUUCUGGUAGGUGGGGUGGCAGAAAUGGCUUUUCUGGCUCUUGCUCAAGAUGAGCUGCAGUUGUGGGGGUCGCUAGACUUGUGUCACGUCCGACUGGAGCGGCUGAGCCCUGAGCCGGAGCGGGAGCGCAGUGCCGGGAGCUGGGAGCCUCCAGCAGAGAGCCGGGGGUGCUGGGAGCGCCUGGGCUCCGCACCUGUACUGGGAGCCCUCCUCUCACCUGCUGCCAGGGCUGAGCCAACCUCCCGUGCUGGAAUUUCGGGAAGGGGUCAUAUGUGACCCUCUCUAGGGGAGGGAGAGAAGUGGGGAAGGUGAAAGACCCGACAAAUGAUCCAUAUGGGACUUGAAUUUUUGCUGUGGGAAUGUGAAAAACACGGGAAGCUGCUCUCUGCCAAGUUAUUUCCCCAAGGAUCUGCUUUACAUUCUGACAAUCAAUGACCUGUCAGGUGUAGUUAUGCACCACAGCAAUGAUAUGAGGUCAAUCAGAUGAAAGCAAGAUAUUUUGAAAUCAUCUGUUGAUUUUCUGUGCUGCAAGACCAGCAUGUGAAUCCUGCCAGCAACUGUACUCCAUGUUUCAAAAGCAUGUAAAAACAUUACAGUUCUUCAAACAGGAGAAGCAGAGGUCUGGAUCCAGGGUGGAGUACUGGACAAAGAACACAAAGCAGCAAGGAAGUACCAGAUCCAGUUGCCUUCUCCUUCCUGCCGCCCCAGAGCCUUGCUGUAGUGGCAGUUUGGGGUGCUCCAAACCAGCUGGCAAAGAAAAGCAUCCAUGUGACAUCUGGACAGAGUGGCAGAGGGGAGGUGGAGGCUGGAGACGACCCCUCUCCAGGGGAGCUGUUUUUGGGCAAGCUGCAGCCUGCCCCUAG